GACGAACGCUGGCGGCGUGCCUAAGACAUGCAAGUCGAACGGUCCGAGCAAUCGGACAGUGGCGAACGGCGGAGUAAUACAUGAGCAACGUGCCCCAAAGUCCGGGAUAGUCGCUGGAAACGGCGGGUAAUACCGGAUGUGGCGAACUGAUGGCAUCAUCGGUUCAUUAAACGGUUUUUCGCUUUGGGAGCGGCUCAUGGCCUAUCAGGUAGUUGGUGAGGUAACGGCUCACCAAGCCGACGACGGGUAGCGGGUUUGAGAGGAUGAUCCGCUCGAGUGGGACUGAGACACGGCCCACACACCUACGGGUGGCAGCAGUUGGGAAUCUUGCACAAUGGGGGAAACCCUGAUGCAGCGACGCCGCGUGGAGGAUGAAUGGUCUAGGCCUGUAAACUCCUUUUAUCGGGAAAGACUUAGGACGGUACCCGAUGAAUAAGCACCGGCUAACUACGUGCCAGCAGCCGCGGUAAGACGUAGGGUGCAAGCGUUGUCCGGAUUUACUGGGCGUAAAGAGCGCGUAGGCGGUCUGUUAAGUGUAGAGUGAAAUCUCCAGGGCUCAACCCGGAAACUGCUCUGCAUACUGGCA
This 586-nucleotide ribosomal RNA is filed under the name uncultured bacterium. Its description in RNAcentral is "bacterial SSU rRNA". It matches the Rfam family "Bacterial small subunit ribosomal RNA", at positions 28 to 638 of the family's 1533-position model. The record is from RNAcentral.